GAUGAACGCUGGCGGCGUGCCUAAUACAUGCAAGUCGAGCGAACGGACGAGAAGCUUGCUUCUCUGAUGUUAGCGGCGGACGGGCGAGUAACACGUGGAUAACCUACCUAUAAGACUGGGAUAACUUCGGGAAACCGGAGCUAAUACCGGAUAAUAUUUUGAACCGCAUGGUUCAAAAGUGAAAGACGGUCUUGCUGUCACUUAUAGAUGGAUCCGCGCUGCAUUAGCUAGUUGGUAAGGUAACGGCUUACCAAGGCAACGAUGCAUAGCCGACCUGAGAGGGUGAUCGGCCACACUGGAACUGAGACACGGUCCAGACUCCUACGGGAGGCAGCAGUAGGGAAUCUUCCGCAAUGGGCGAAAGCCUGACGGAGCAACGCCGCGAGAGUGAUGAAGGUCUUCGGAUCGUAAAACUCUGUUAUUAGGGAAGAACAUAUGUGUAAGUAACUGUGCACAUCUUGACGGUACCUAAUCAGAAAGCCACAGCUAACUACGUG
RNAcentral lists this ribosomal RNA (497 nucleotides) under uncultured bacterium. RNAcentral describes it as "partial 16S ribosomal RNA". It matches the Rfam family "Bacterial small subunit ribosomal RNA", at positions 28 to 507 of the family's 1533-position model. The record is from RNAcentral.